UGUUUAGAUCACUGUGCGUUUAUUCACUGUCUCUGUCUGGUCUUUUCUUUUUAUAAUAGCAAACAGCAUAGCACAGUGGACAUGUGUGCAAAUGAUAGUACUGAUCUGGUCCCUAAGUGCUAGCUGAGGGCAUGGUUCGACAUCAACGCUUCACACAGCAACUGAAAUAGAAAAGUGAUGACUGAGUUGUGGGAGUGGGUUUCCCCUCCAUCCUCCCCACCACCACCAGGUUUGUCCUGUCCAUUGUCUGGGGGUAGGCUCCGCCAUUUUCAUCAUCAGGCAGGACCUACCAGCAUACUGCUUGACCUGGAUGAAGGACAGGGCCUACGCCAAAGAACUUCUUGACGCGACUU
Long non-coding RNA from Triplophysa rosa, 353 nucleotides. RefSeq lists it as uncharacterized. Lineage: Eukaryota; Metazoa; Chordata; Actinopteri; Cypriniformes; Nemacheilidae. The transcript has 3 exons. The record is from RefSeq and is a predicted model, not a curated record.